CACCUGACACCAAAAACAUGUAUUCUCAGUAGUCUGUGGUGUGGUAAUGACAGGGAGUGAUUGCUGAGCAGACUUUUAAACCAAAAAUGUAGUAAAUCUCUCUCUGUAAAAUCAAGUCUGUAGGCUUAAAACUCAGCACAAGAAGCUGGGAAGAUAAAAAAUGCUUAAAGGAAAAUUUGUCAGUGAAAUGAAUGAUAAUGUGAGGACCAGAUAGGUACAUAAACGAGUGCCAAGAAAGUGUGCAAGCAAGCCAUGGUGAAGUAAUGAGAUUAGGAAUAUUCAAGGUGUGCAAGCAGUUGAGGAAGAGGUGAAAGUUAAAGCAACCAGAAUGCAUGAACAGCUCAUCAGAAUUGAGGUGGUGUAUGGGAGUUAGUUCAUCAGGGAGUCUAAUCCAACAUCAUCUUGCUGAUUACAAGGUAACUUGGCUGACCAAGUGACUCCUCUCAAUUGCCACCUGUAAUCCCACCCCCCCUUGUAAGACUUGUUGGCUGGCUAUGAUGCUGGUGAUGAGCUGCCUUGUGUGCUAAGAGUUCUCAGGAUUCCCUAACUUUGAUUUUUUAUUUUAAUAAAAAAUCAUUGUUGUGAAAAGUAGUUUCUUUUUUUCUCUCCAGAGAGUCUUUGAGGUAAAAUUUAAGAUAAACUUCCUCUCUAACUCGUUAAAAUAAAUAUAUAUAUACACCCCUAUAUAUAAUAAAAUAUACCUCUAUAUAAUAUAAAGUAUAUACCCCUCAAACUUCUCUCUAAUAUAUAUAUACACCCCUCAAACUUAUCUAAUAUAUAAUGCUACUCUUGCAUUUAAAGAUCUCUCCCUAAAUUUACUGCUUGUAUCAGGCAGCUCUAAAGAAAAACUACACCACUGAUGCACACAGUAGCCUUAAAAUUAUUCAUGCAUCUUGAUCAUCAGCAAACAAAUAAAAGCUGAUCCUCCUGAAAUCUUACCAGCUUAUCUUGAGUAGAGUCUUCCACAGUGACAUCAUACACCACCUCAACAAUGGCGGUGAUAGCUGCAGGCCACACCUUCAUGACCGGUGGCCACCCAGAGCCACACAAGUAAGCCAGGCCAAGGGCGCACAGUUUGCGUCGCUCCUCAGAAGACACCAAGGCCAAUUUGUCAGCCCACAUACUAGUGAUGUGUUCCAACAUCUCCUCAGGGGUGGUGUUCUCAUUGGUGGCAGCCUGAGGGCACAUCAUCUCACUGAGAAAUGACCGAUGAGGUUUUGCCUAACAUCACAACUUGCCUGAGGGCACAUCCUCUCACUGAGAAAUGACCGAUGAUUUUGCCUAACAUCACAACUCUAUAGUCAAGGACAAUAAAUACUUCAUCGGUUUAAAAAACUACUAUUCUGGUGCAGUCAGUCUCUUUCCCUCACCUAUAAAAUUGAGAACCAAUAAUGAGGAACACCAAAGCUCAGUGCUGUGAGGUUACCCCAUUUCAUUUGGUGAGUACAAGACAAGCGGCUAAUAUAUGAUGAUUACUCGUUUUUCCCUAUCAAUUCCACCUUACAGUGUGAUCACAUGAAAGUGAAGGCGAGCUGAGGCACCACCACGUCUAGAAGGGCUGCCACUAUUUGCCAGCCUAAUGAGUUGUAGUAAAUACUUGUCUGUAGCUAAGAUACACUUUACUCUUGUUCCAGACACAACUAUGUUUUAAUUGCAAUCCCAAAGUUCCUUCUAUUUAAUACAACUACUUUUCAUCAUCUGUCACACCAAUAACAAAUGCACUAAUGUAUCAUUACUCCCACGGUGUCCACUAAGCCAUCACUUUCUUGUGUAUAAGGAUUAAAGUUUUAAUGCUUGUUUGUUUGUUCUUCACUACAAUAAACCAAUCCUUACAGCAGCAAAAAACAGCAUUCCUCAGUUAUACUAAUACCAGACUUACCUGAUUAACAAUCCAGGUGAAGAUGGGCUCAGCAUACAGCACAAGUCU
Long non-coding RNA from Portunus trituberculatus (swimming crab), 1927 nucleotides. RefSeq lists it as uncharacterized. NCBI's taxonomy places the organism in Eukaryota, Metazoa, Arthropoda, Malacostraca, Decapoda, Portunidae. The transcript has 3 exons. The record is from RefSeq and is a predicted model, not a curated record.